UAUCUUUUUUCUGUGAUAGAGAUUCUUUGCUUUUUGUUUCUAACAAAGCAAAGAAUCUCUAUCACAGAAAAAAGACG
MicroRNA precursor from Homo sapiens (human), 77 nucleotides. Ensembl annotates it as microRNA 4679-2. The record is from Ensembl. Lineage: Eukaryota; Metazoa; Chordata; Mammalia; Primates; Hominidae.